Long non-coding RNA from Zingiber officinale, 228 nucleotides. RefSeq lists it as uncharacterized. The record is from RefSeq and is a predicted model, not a curated record. The transcript is spliced from 2 exons. Lineage: Eukaryota; Viridiplantae; Streptophyta; Magnoliopsida; Zingiberales; Zingiberaceae.
AGGAUCUUAGUUAUGAGAGUAGACCUACACAGAUAGUGGACAGAACAGUCAAGAGACUAAGGAACAAAGAAGUGCCACUAGUGAAGGUCAUAUGGCAGAACCAGAAGCACGAGGAAGUCACUUGGAAACGAGAGGAUAGCAUGAGACAAAAAUAUCCAGAAUUAUUCUAAGUUCGUGGACGAACUUUUUAUAAGAUAUGGAUAAAAAUAAAGGAAAGGCUAAAGUGGC